CGAAAACCAAUGACGAAGAAAAGUAAUUAAGAUCCGUAUGAAAAGAGAGGAAAUGUCUCAGGCUGAAAACAUUUCUACAUAUUGGCUUAAUGAAAGAACACUUUGUAGGUUUUGUCUUGAACAAGGGACAUCCUUUAAUAGGGACAAACGUUUGCAGGCGUUAACUGUAAAAGUGGAAGCUUUUUGCUUCAAUUAGGGUGGCACCACGGGAAACAUACUCUCGUCCCUUGU
This 231-nucleotide non-coding RNA is filed under the name Heyndrickxia ginsengihumi. RNAcentral's name for it is "Bacillus ginsengihumi T-box sequence". It matches the Rfam family "T-box leader". Rfam says of the family: Uncharged tRNA acts as the effector for transcription antitermination of genes in the T-box leader family. T-boxes are found upstream of many aminoacyl-tRNA synthetase genes and some amino acid biosynthetic genes usually in Gram-positive bacteria. The anticodon of a specific tRNA base pairs to a specifier sequence within the T-box motif, and the NCCA acceptor tail of the tRNA base pairs to a conserved bulge in the T-box antiterminator hairpin. Lineage: Bacteria; Bacillati; Bacillota; Bacilli; Caryophanales; Bacillaceae. The record is from RNAcentral.